AUACGAAGGGAGCUAGCGUUGUUCGGAAUUACUGGGCGUAAAGCGCACGUAGGUGGAUCAAUCAGUUGAGGGUGAAAUCCUGGGGCUCAACCCCAGAACUGCCUCCGAAACUGGCAAUCUCGAGUCCGGAAGAGGUGAGUGGAAUUCCCAGUGUAGAGGUGAAAUUCGUAGAUAUUGGGAAGAACACCAGUGGCGAAGGCGGCUCACUGGUCCGGUACUGACGCUGAGGUGCGAAAGCGUGGGGAGCAAACAGGAUUAGAAACCCCAGUAGUCC
RNAcentral lists this ribosomal RNA (274 nucleotides) under uncultured bacterium. Its description in RNAcentral is "partial 16S ribosomal RNA". It matches the Rfam family "Bacterial small subunit ribosomal RNA", at positions 523 to 796 of the family's 1533-position model. The record is from RNAcentral.